Molecule: transfer RNA, 73 nt
Filed under: Camelus bactrianus (Bactrian camel)
Lineage: Eukaryota; Metazoa; Chordata; Mammalia; Artiodactyla; Camelidae
Also listed under: 2 other names
Rfam family: tRNA
About the family: Transfer RNA (tRNA) molecules are approximately 80 nucleotides in length.
Source: Rfam by way of RNAcentral
GAGGGUAUAGCUCAAGUGGUAGAGCCCAUGCUUAGCAUGCAUGAGUUCCUGGGUUCAAUCCCUAGUACCUCCU